Molecule: ribosomal RNA, 91 nt
Filed under: Arthrobacter globiformis
Lineage: Bacteria; Bacillati; Actinomycetota; Actinomycetes; Micrococcales; Micrococcaceae
Description: partial 23S ribosomal RNA
Source: RNAcentral
ACUGGGUUGAUAGGCCGGAUGUGGAAGCGAGGACUAACGACUCGUGAAGCUGACCGGUACUAAUAGGCCGAUAACUUACACCACACACCCC